Long non-coding RNA from Oncorhynchus tshawytscha (Chinook salmon), 1156 nucleotides. The record is from Ensembl. NCBI's taxonomy places the organism in Eukaryota, Metazoa, Chordata, Actinopteri, Salmoniformes, Salmonidae.
CUACGAAGGCUUCUCCAGUUGCACCGUGUUCCCAGCAUGGAUGGGUGAGCAGCGUUGCCGUUACAUGUUGUCCUUUUGUGGAGGGAGAGUGACUACAUCCCUAAUCGCACCAUAUUCCCAUUAUAGUGCACUAAUUUUGACCGGAGGCCUAUAGAGCGCUAUCGGGGGGGAAUAAGGGUGCCAUUUGGGAUGCAUGCAGUGCUAUUCCAAACCACUGUACAAGAGAACAAUUGGGCCACUGUGACAGUAUGUUGGUAGUAGUGUAUGUGUGACAUACUGUCAUCAAACUCAAAGCGUUAUGACAUCAGGCUCUUUCUUCAGGGUAAGCACAUUUUGUCAGGCAGCAGUCUCCCACUCACAAGAUGUGAUGAAUGUGGGCUAUUCAUUAAACUGGGCUACAUUGACAUACACAUCUGUUUUAUUCAAGAGACCGAGAACAGGUUUAUAAAGUAUAUAACUUCAAUUGCAGUAUAUAACUACAAUUACAGCAUAUUAUAACUUGAGGCCUAGUCUCUUUUUAAAAUGGUGGAUGUUUCUCUCUAAAUAACACAAACAUGUACCUGAAAUGGCUGACUGUCUGCCUACUACUAUGUGUACAAAUGUCAACAUAGGCUAAGUUGAUGGCAUGAACGUCAGAUUCCUUAUAAGUACCUAUUUGAUUCAUUAUCAGGUACAUAUAGUUUGUCUUGGAUAUUCCUCUCUGGCUCCAGUGCUCUCUCCUUUGCUGCUCUUUUCACUAUCAGACCAGCUCUCGACAGUGGUAGGAGCGUCAUUGCUGCACUACUCCUCGAUAUUAUCUCAGGUAGGCAAUGAAAUAUUAUCUCAGGUAGGCUAUGAAAUAUUAUCUCAGGUAGGCAAUGAAAUACUAUCUCAGGUAGGCAAUGAAAUAUUAUCUCAGGUAGGCAAUGAAAUAUUAUCUCAGGUAGGCUAUGAAAUAUUAUCUCAGGUAGGCUAUGAAAUACUAUCUCAGGUAGGCAAUGAAAUACUAUCUCAAGUAGGCUAUGAAAUAUGUCUCAGGUAGGUGUUUGUGCUCGCUUAAGGAUUUGUCACUACAUUAGAGCAUUAUGACAUGGAGUGGAAUCCAGAUUGAUAUGAAUCCAAACAGAUAUGCUCCGUAUGGUUAAAUGGAAUAUCAGUUUGUAUUCCAGGUUGCAAA